Triticum dicoccoides is the source of this 1207-nucleotide long non-coding RNA. RefSeq lists it as uncharacterized. The record is from RefSeq and is a predicted model, not a curated record. Lineage: Eukaryota; Viridiplantae; Streptophyta; Magnoliopsida; Poales; Poaceae. The transcript is spliced from 3 exons.
UUCCUCCGCCGCAGCUCCCCUGCUGCUUCCCUCCCCCCUCCUUGCCGGCGGCUCCUCCGCCGCAGCUGCCCUGCCGCUUCCCUCCCCCCUCCUCUCUGUCGGCUCCUCCCACCGCCGCCGCACUCAUCGCCUAGGGCUGCUGGUAUAUUCCCCACCACCACGCCGCCGCACCCACUUCCCCUACCCACGCCGAUUGAGACGGAGGGAGGGAGGACAUGGUCGUUGGGGGCCGCCACACGCCUGGAUCUGGGUGCCAUCGUGCACAUCCGGCCGGAUCUGGCCGCCGCCGCGCUCGUCCGUGCCGGAUCUGGCCGCCACAAUCGAGGAUCGAUGGAGGAGCACAGGUCGCGGCUUGGUUGUGGAGGAGGGAAAGGGAGCACGGGGCAGCACCAUUGCGGCUGGAGCAGGGCUUCGGUUCGAGGGUGGCGGACAUGGCUGCGUCAUGUACGUGGGGGAGAAGGAUGACCGUGCACCCCGGCGUUCUCUGCGUGGUGGUAGUCAUGCGCCGUGCCACGUCGAGACUGGGUGUAGCACGGGGCGGCCGUUGCGGCUGGGAGGUGAUCUGCUCAUCGUCCAUCUGGAGAGGAAGCAGAGUGACUCAUGACGUUACAUAGCCGCCUACGAGCCAAUGAUGAGCAAACGAGGCAGCGAAUCGUGCAGCUGCAGGCUUGCAGCAGGUUGGCGGGCGAAUGGUCAUAAAGAGAAGAUAACAGGCAUGUCGAGUGCUGUGAGUAUUCCAUUCGUUUAGACAACUACGUUUCCAAGAUCAUCAAGAGAUCAUAGUGUGACAGAUGGGAGAACACACACACACCUCAAUGGAUGACAUAUUAUAAUUACGGAGACUAGUUGUAAGGAUAAUGGAGUGCAAUUUUCUGAUUCAGUGAUCUGCAGGUUUGAAGAACUAAUAUUGUGUAGAAAAUGGCAAUCGAAUUAUUUAGAUUUAAUAAAUUAGAUUUAAGGAUAAAUUAGUUGGUGCAUUUCAUUAUCAAGGACUAAUAGUAUCAAUAUACUAGGAGCAAUAUGUAGCAAACAAUUCAAAAUUUAAGGAAUGAUCCAUCUUACCCCUCAAGAAGAAGGAAUAAUCCAUUUUAAUAUGUUCCUUUAUAUAUACGGAGAACUUCUUAGUAGUUCGUAUGUCAAGAUGUUUGGAUACUGAAUAAUGGUGCUCUUUCUAAUAAUCAGGCAGACUGUACGCAUUGCCAGUUUA